Molecule: small nucleolar RNA, 136 nt
Organism: Sorex araneus (European shrew)
Lineage: Eukaryota; Metazoa; Chordata; Mammalia; Eulipotyphla; Soricidae
Gene: SNORA70
Rfam family: Small nucleolar RNA SNORA70
About the family: snoRNA U70 seems to be exclusive to mammals and is a member of the H/ACA class of snoRNA which contain H (ANANNA) and ACA box motifs. H/ACA box snoRNAs are involved in the conversion of uridines to pseudouridines (5-ribosyluracil) a constituent of structural RNAs (transfer, ribosomal, small nuclear, and small nucleolar).
Source: Ensembl
AUGCAGCUAAGUAACCCACCGUGUUCUCUGACCUGUGAAACCCGGAAUGAAAUGGCUGCAAACAACAAACCAACUCCAUGGUGGUGCAGAAGACUGUUACUCAUACAGAUUCUUCAGCAGAAGCUGGGAGACAACU